UUCCCUGACAAAGGACGAUGAUGUGAGGA
RNAcentral lists this non-coding RNA (29 nucleotides) under Rattus norvegicus (Norway rat). Lineage: Eukaryota; Metazoa; Chordata; Mammalia; Rodentia; Muridae. The record is from RNAcentral.